UUUUAGGGAGACCUACCCAACUUGUUGAUUGUACUUUAGUACUCAAAAACCAACAAGAAGGUCAUCACCUAGGUCGGUUGUUAAUGCAAUGUGGCUAUCAAACUGUAUUAUUUGGUUCGUAAUGGGCUAUUAGCUCAGGUGGUUAGAGCGCACCCCUGAUAAGGGUGAGGUCCCUGGUUCGAGUCCAGGAUGGCCCACAUUUGUUUGGGGGUUUAGCUCAGUUGGUAGAGCGCCUGCUUUGCAAGCAGGAUGUCAGCGGUUCGAGUCCGCUAACCUCCACAUUUACAUAGCAUUUAUUGAAAAAAUUCAAAAUAAAUGUUAGUAUGAUUGUAUUGGAAAGUUCAGCAACUGUCGUUAUUAAGAUAACUCAGCCUGCUGGAUGUAUGUCCAGUAAAGAACCUUGAAAACUGCAUAGUGACGCAAAUUGUAGGCAGUAACUGCAUUGUUCGUAUUAAUUACUAAAGUAAUUAAUAUGUAAAUACAGGAAUUGAAUUACAGAUAAUCCUUUGAAUUGUAUUGAAUU
RNAcentral lists this transfer RNA (523 nucleotides) under Dulcicalothrix sp. SEV5-4-C5. RNAcentral describes it as "Calothrix sp. SEV5-4-C5 16S-23S ribosomal RNA intergenic spacer". The stretch from base 207 to 279 matches the Rfam family "tRNA". Lineage: Bacteria; Bacillati; Cyanobacteriota; Cyanophyceae; Nostocales; Calotrichaceae. The record is from RNAcentral.